CCUGAACGCUGGCGGCGUGGCUAAGACAUGCAAGUCGAACGGGUGCAGCAAUGCACCAGUGGCGCACGGGUGAGUAAUGUAUCGCUAACGUGCCCUGGAGCCUGGGAUAGCUGUCCGAAAGGGCAGGUAAUACCGGAUGAGACCACGGAGAGGCAUCUCUCAGUGCUCAAAGCCGCAAGGCACUCUGGGAGCGGGCGAUAUCGAUCAGCUAGUUGCGGGGUAACGGCCCACCAAGGCUGCGACGCGUAGCUGGUCUGAGAGGACGGCCAGCCACAUCGGGACUGAGACACUGCCCGGACUCCUACGGGGGGCUGCAGUAACGAAUCUUCCGCAAUGCACGAAAGUGUGACGGAGCGACGCCGCGUGGAGGACGAAGUCCU
RNAcentral lists this ribosomal RNA (380 nucleotides) under uncultured bacterium. Its description in RNAcentral is "bacterial SSU rRNA". It matches the Rfam family "Bacterial small subunit ribosomal RNA", at positions 30 to 417 of the family's 1533-position model. The record is from RNAcentral.